ACAUGUAAGAGCUACAUUCUUCAAUGUUGUGGAAAUUUGUUUAGAAGCUAUAGAAAUAAAAUGAAGGCCAAGUAUUAUAACCCUUAUAAUACAGAUGAGGAGAGAUUGUGCCAUCGACCUCCACACUUAUCGGAUGAUGAUUGGAGGUGGCUCAUCCACUUUUGGGGUACACCUGAGGCCAAGGAUAUCUCAGAAAAAAACAAGGCAAAUAGGGCAAAGCAAGUGAUAAAGCAUACAUCGGGAU
This is a long non-coding RNA of Vitis riparia (riverbank grape), 244 nucleotides long. RefSeq lists it as uncharacterized. The record is from RefSeq and is a predicted model, not a curated record. NCBI's taxonomy places the organism in Eukaryota, Viridiplantae, Streptophyta, Magnoliopsida, Vitales, Vitaceae. The transcript is spliced from 2 exons.